Molecule: ribosomal RNA, 550 nt
Filed under: uncultured bacterium
Lineage: Bacteria
Description: bacterial SSU rRNA
Rfam family: Bacterial small subunit ribosomal RNA
Source: RNAcentral
UAGGGAAUCUUCGGCAAUGGACGGAAGUCUGACCGAGCAACGCCGCGUGAGUGAAGAAGGUUUUCGGAUCGUAAAGCUCUGUUGUAAGAGAAGAACGAGUGUGAGAGUGGAAAGUUCACACUGUGACGGUAUCUUACCAGAAAGGGACGGCUAACUACGCGCCAGCAGCCGCGGUAAUACGUAGGUCCCGAGCGUUGUCCGGAUUUAUUGGGCGUAAAGCGAGCGCAGGCGGUUAGAUAAGUCUGAAGUUAAAGGCUGUGGCUUAACCAUAGUAGGCUUUGGAAACUGUUUAACUUGAGUGCAAGAGGGGAGAGUGGAAUUCCAUGUGUAGCGGUGAAAUGCGUAGAUAUAUGGAGGAACACCGGUGGCGAAAGCGGCUCUCUGGCUUGUAACUGACGCUGAGGCUCGAAAGCGUGGGGAGCAAACAGGAUUAGAUACCCUGGUAGUCCACGCUGUAAACGAUGAGUGCUAGGUGUUAGACCCUUUCCGGGGUUUAGUGCCGUAGCUAACGCAUUAAGCACUCCGCCUGGGGAGUACGACCGCAAGGUUG